Molecule: ribosomal RNA, 247 nt
Filed under: uncultured bacterium
Lineage: Bacteria
Description: partial 16S ribosomal RNA
Rfam family: Bacterial small subunit ribosomal RNA
Source: RNAcentral
AUACGUAGGUGGCAAGCGUUAUCCGGAAUUACUGGGCGUAAAGCGCACGCAGGCGGUCUUUUAAGUUUGACGUGAAAGCUCCCGGCUUAACUGGGAGAGGUCGUUGAAUACUGGGAGACUUGAGUUUAGGAGAGGGGUGUAGAAUUCCCGGUGUAGUGGUGGAAUGCGUAGAUAUCGGGGGGAAUACCAGUGGCGAAAGCGGCACCCUAGCCUUUGACUGACGCUCAUGUGCGAAAGCGUGGGGAGC